This 301-nucleotide ribosomal RNA is filed under the name uncultured bacterium. RNAcentral describes it as "partial 16S ribosomal RNA". It matches the Rfam family "Bacterial small subunit ribosomal RNA", at positions 509 to 807 of the family's 1533-position model. The record is from RNAcentral.
CAGCAGCCGCGGUAAUACGUAGGUGGCAAGCGUUGUCCGGAAUUAUUGGGCGUAAAGGGCUCGCAGGCGGUUUCUUAAGUCUGAUGUGAAAGCCCCCGGCUCAACCGGGGAGGGUCAUUGGAAACUGGGAAACUUGAGUGCAGAAGAGGAGAGUGGAAUUCCACGUGUAGCGGUGAAAUGCGUAGAGAUGUGGAGGAACACCAGUGGCGAAGGCGACUCUCUGGUCUGUAACUGACGCUGAUGCACGAAAGCUAGAGGAGCAAACAGGAUUAGAUACCCCUGUAGUCCCUGUCUCUUAUAC